GAAUUGCCCUGGAACAAUUUACAGAGCAGCGGUUCCUUUUCCGUGGAUGGAGACUUCUCUCUGCUCCUUGGAGCUCCUUCUUGUUCCAGGAUGAUAUGGAAAGUGAUUCAUCAGGCCCAAGUAGAACCUGCUAUGAGGGAUAAAGAAGCUCGUGACAACUCAACCCUUCCCAGGGAUGUUUGUGUUCAUCUAGGGACCAGAGUUUUAAUUUUGGAAUCUGAAGAGGAGAGUCCUUUCCAGGAUUAAACUGUCCUGACAUCUGUAUUCUUUCAUCGGAAUGGACUGGAACCCAGGGAUCUGCACUUGAUGAUGAUUCUGAGAACCACACAUUUUCUGAGAACUACACGUUUGGGGAACAUGAGCUGGGCCACGGGAGUGGUCUGGGUCGAGAAGGAGGAUGGAUAUAAUGACCCCCAAGAGGUUCUGCCAGCCUGAGCCAUCAGUGAUUCAAGUUUGGAGUUAGGGUAGUGGUGGGGAGUGACCUUUGUUUCUCGCCUCCAGGGGUUGUUCAUUAGAAAGGUAAUCUUCCUUCUCACCUUAGGUCUUCCUCAGUCAUCAUAAAAGCAGAGCCUGGGGGAGGGGAGGUGUUCUUUAGGGGGAUUAAAGACUCUUCCUUGAGAGGAAACAAAUUCCUUACUAAUUAUGCAAUUAUUUUAUUAUGCAGCCUUAAUGAAAAAAAAAUGCAUACACUACUCAAAGCCUAAAAAGAAGGCUGUAGCCAGGACUUAUCCAAUUUAAUAAAUCCUCUCCAUCCUGUAAUUAUUUCCUGGAU
RNAcentral lists this long non-coding RNA (772 nucleotides) under Bos indicus x Bos taurus (hybrid cattle). RNAcentral's name for it is "lncRNA (ENSBIXG00005023589.1)". The record is from RNAcentral. Lineage: Eukaryota; Metazoa; Chordata; Mammalia; Artiodactyla; Bovidae.